GGAGAGAUGCGAGAGCGGUCGAAUCGGACGGUCUCGAAAACCGUAGAACCUCACUGGUUCCGAGGGUUCGAAUCCCUCUCUCUCCG
RNAcentral lists this transfer RNA (86 nucleotides) under Treponema sp. RNAcentral describes it as "tRNA-Ser". It matches the Rfam family "tRNA". From Rfam's summary of the family: Transfer RNA (tRNA) molecules are approximately 80 nucleotides in length. Their secondary structure includes four short double-helical elements and three loops (D, anti-codon, and T loops). The record is from RNAcentral. Lineage: Bacteria; Pseudomonadati; Spirochaetota; Spirochaetia; Treponematales; Treponemataceae.